RNAcentral lists this ribosomal RNA (465 nucleotides) under uncultured bacterium. Its description in RNAcentral is "partial 16S ribosomal RNA". It matches the Rfam family "Bacterial small subunit ribosomal RNA", at positions 28 to 507 of the family's 1533-position model. The record is from RNAcentral.
GACGAACGCUGGCGGCGUGCUUAACACAUGCAAGUCGAGCGGAAAGGCCCUGCUUGCAGGGUACUCGAGUGGCGAACGGGUGAGUAACACGUGGGUGAUCUGCCCUGCACUUCGGGAUAAGCCUGGGAAACUGGGUCUAAUACCGGAUAGGAGCCAUUUUUAGUGUGAUGGUUGGAAAGUUUUUUCGGUGUAGGAUGAGCUCGCGGCCUAUCAGCUUGUUGGUGGGGUAAUGGCCUACCAAGGCGGCGACGGGUAGCCGGCCUGAGAGGGUGGACGGCCACAUUGGGACUGAGAUACGGCCCAGACUCCUACGGGAGGCAGCAGUGGGGAAUAUUGCACAAUGGGCGCAAGCCUGAUGCAGCGACGCCGCGUGGGGGAUGACGGCCUUCGGGUUGUAAACGCCUUUCGCUAGGGACGAAGCUUUUUGUGACGGUACCUAGAUAAGAAGCACCGGCUAACUACGUG